This 481-nucleotide ribosomal RNA is filed under the name uncultured bacterium. Its description in RNAcentral is "partial 16S ribosomal RNA". It matches the Rfam family "Bacterial small subunit ribosomal RNA", at positions 28 to 507 of the family's 1533-position model. The record is from RNAcentral.
GAUGAACGCUGGCGGCGUGCUUAACACAUGCAAGUCGAACGAAGCACUUUAUUUGAUUUCCUUCGGGACUGAUUAUUUUGUGACUGAGUGGCGGACGGGUGAGUAACGCGUGGGUAACCUGCCUUGUACAGGGGGAUAACAGUUGGAAACGGCUGCUAAUACCGCAUAAGCGCACGGCAUCGCAUGAUGCAGUGUGAAAAACUCCGGUGGUAUAAGAUGGACCCGCGUUGGAUUAGCUAGUUGGUGAGGUAACGGCCCACCAAGGCGACGAUCCAUAGCCGACCUGAGAGGGUGACCGGCCACAUUAGGACUGAGACACGGCCCAAACUCCUACGGGAGGCAGCAGUGGGGAAUAUUGCACAAUGGGCGAAAGCCUGAUGCAGCGACGCCGCGUGAGCGAAGAAGUAUUUCGGUAUGUAAAGCUCUAUCAGCAGGGAAGAUAAUGACGGUACCUGACUAAGAAGCACCGGCUAAAUACGUG